Molecule: non-coding RNA, 163 nt
Organism: Choanephora cucurbitarum
Lineage: Eukaryota; Fungi; Mucoromycota; Mucoromycetes; Mucorales; Choanephoraceae
Source: Rfam
AUACUUACCUGGGUCGUGUAUCUGGUAUCAAGAAUCCCAGAUAUACAGCGAAGGCGGUUGUCAUUGCACAGCGACGGCUGCUUUUGCUGCGAACAUCCUUCGGGAUGUCUCGAGAUCAUAAUUUUUGCUUGGGGGGAAAUCGUGGUUCGCCGCGGGUUCCCCU